CGUUAUGGCGGCUGUGUGCGGGCAGGCCUCGGUCUGGCCGAGUACCUAUUCUCGGAUUUCUCACCCCUGCACAUAGCUGCCACCACU
RNAcentral lists this non-coding RNA (87 nucleotides) under Pseudomonas sp. NFACC13-1. Lineage: Bacteria; Pseudomonadati; Pseudomonadota; Gammaproteobacteria; Pseudomonadales; Pseudomonadaceae. The record is from RNAcentral.